ACGCGAAGAACCUUACCCAGGCUUGAACAGCGAGUGACCAUCGACGAAAGUUGACUUCCGCAAGGACACUCGUAGAGGUGCUGCAUGGCUGUCGUCAGCUCGUGUCGUGAGAUGUUGGGUUAAGUCCCGCAACGAGCGCAACCCUUGUUUGCUGUUGCCAUCAGGUUAUGCUGGGCACUCUGCAAAGACUGCCGGUGAUAAACCGGAGGAAGGUGGGGAUGACGUCAAGUCAGCAUGGCCUUUAUGUCUGGGGCUACACACGUGCUACAAUGGCCGAUACAAACCGUCGCGAGCCCGCAAGGGGGAGCUAAUCGGAGAAAGUCGGUCUCAGUUCGGAUAGCAGGCUGCAACUCGCCUGCUUGAAGUUGGAAUCGCUAGUAAUCGCGGAUCAGCACGCCGUGGUGAAUACGUUCCCGGGCCUUGUA
RNAcentral lists this ribosomal RNA (425 nucleotides) under uncultured Acidobacterium sp. RNAcentral describes it as "bacterial SSU rRNA". It matches the Rfam family "Bacterial small subunit ribosomal RNA", at positions 959 to 1385 of the family's 1533-position model. The record is from RNAcentral. Lineage: Bacteria; Pseudomonadati; Acidobacteriota; Terriglobia; Terriglobales; Acidobacteriaceae.